This 543-nucleotide long non-coding RNA is filed under the name Phoenix dactylifera (date palm). Its description in RNAcentral is "long non-coding RNA (PDAC_LNC005222)". Lineage: Eukaryota; Viridiplantae; Streptophyta; Magnoliopsida; Arecales; Arecaceae. The record is from RNAcentral.
AGAACCGCAUCCAUCCGUUCCUAAAAGAUGGAUUCCCGUUCUCAAUGAAGGAUAAAUUCUACUUGUUAGUGCCACUAGAUAGUUUUUUUUUAUCCCAACACCCAAUGGGAUUCGAGGCUUCUGCCUCCGAAUUAUUCCCCGACUGACUCUUCCCACCCCAUUCCCCCAUCUAAUUCGUCCAAUCAAGCUUCUAAUCUCCACCCCAACAGAUUCCUGUGAAAGCAUUAUCUAUCUGCGAUUAAUACAAACAAUGAUGGUAACUGGAAAAUAAUGUGUUAUUUUUUAACCCACUGUUUGAUUGAACAAAAGAAUAUUAUUUUCCAAGUUGCAAACUUUUAGAUGAAAAAACUAAUAUUGAAAUUUAAUUUUUGAAUGACAUCAUUUUAUUUAAGAAAGCAACGUAAAUGAGCAUUGCUACGGUUGUUAACAUCUUACCGUCACCCAGAACGGACUGCAUCGCGUGCCACAAGCAAACUUUGGCUGCGCACCACCCCACUCAUGAUGGGAACAUGCCAUACCUCCGCCAUCUGGGCGCCCCUAGCA